UCAGACUAAAAAUAGUCCCUUGUAUCCAAGCACCCUCUUAUCCCGCUGACAAGCAUUGGAGACCGCGUCCUCUUUCUCCAAGGGAAGUGCCUGAGUGUCUCCUCCACGGCGCUGCCCACUGUCAUGUCUGAAACUGUUGUCUAUACCCAUCCGAUGUACUAUCAUUAUGCACAAUACCACCUCAGGACCGGUGCUUGGUCUCAACCAAUCGACACCUGCGGUCUAGAUGGCUUUAACCCGGGUCCUCGUAGCCUCAUCCACCAUGUCAUUACUUGCUGCAUUCGCAAUGUCUGGAACAAAGGGCUAUUAUAUUCGAAAAGGCUAGAAAAUAGGCUUCCAACGCUUCUUUGGAAGGUGAAGAGAAAGCUUCGUUAUUGGUCAUGAAAAGGCCCUUGUGACCAGAAGCUGGUGGAUGCAUGGAUUCCCUUGGCGCCAAGAAGGGGGACUUGUUACACUCGUACCUCCUCGUCGUCUCCUUGUUGCUAGAACUUUUCUCAUGACACCUAUUGUGACGAUACUGUAGCUCCGACAAAUUUAAAUAUGCUUACCUUCUGCUUUUCAGCAAUCAUG
Triticum dicoccoides is the source of this 570-nucleotide long non-coding RNA. RefSeq lists it as uncharacterized. The transcript is spliced from 3 exons. The record is from RefSeq and is a predicted model, not a curated record. NCBI's taxonomy places the organism in Eukaryota, Viridiplantae, Streptophyta, Magnoliopsida, Poales, Poaceae.